CCUACGGGUGGCAGCAGUCGAGAAUCAUUCACAAUGGGGGAAACCCUGAUGGUGCGACGCCGCGUGGGGGAAUGAAGGUCUUCGGAUUGUAAACCCCUGUCAUGUGGGAGCAAAUUAAAAAGAUAGUACCACAAGAGGAAGAGACGGCUAACUCUGUGCCAGCAGCCGCGGUAAUACAGAGGUCUCAAGCGUUGUUCGGAAUCACUGGGCGUAAAGCGUGCGUAGGCUGUUUUGUAAGUCGUGUGUGAAAGGCGCGGGCUCAACCCGCGGACGGCCCAUGAUACUGCGAGACUAGAGUAGUGGAGGGGGAACCGGAAUUCGCGGUGUAGCAGUGAAAUGCGUAGAUAUCGAGAGGAACACUCGUGGCGAAGGCGGGUUCCUGGACAUUAACUGACGCUGAGGCACGAAGGCCAGGGGAGCGAAAGGGAUUAGAUACCCGAGUAGUC
This 446-nucleotide ribosomal RNA is filed under the name uncultured bacterium. RNAcentral's name for it is "partial 16S ribosomal RNA". It matches the Rfam family "Bacterial small subunit ribosomal RNA", at positions 338 to 795 of the family's 1533-position model. The record is from RNAcentral.